Molecule: ribosomal RNA, 253 nt
Filed under: uncultured bacterium
Lineage: Bacteria
Description: partial 16S ribosomal RNA
Rfam family: Bacterial small subunit ribosomal RNA
Source: RNAcentral
UACGUAGGUGGCAAGCGUUGUCCGGAUUUAUUGGGUUUAAAGGGUGCGUAGGCGGUUUUUUAAGUCAGUGGUGAAAUACUUCAGCUUAACUGGAGAGGUGCCAUUGAUACUGGGAAACUUGAGUACUGAUGAGGUAGGCGGAAUGGACGGUGUAGCGGUGAAAUGCUUAGAUAUCGUCCAGAACACCGAUAGCGAAGGCAGCUUACUAAGGAGUAACUGACGCUGAGGCACAAAAGUGUGGGGAUCAAACAGG